AUUUCUAGCAGUGAUUUUAUUUCUUCUAUAACUCAGGUUUUUAAAACAAUCUUACAUGCUAUAUUGUGUUGACAAAUAUGUUUAUCCAAUAAUUCUCUUAAAUGUCUGCUUGUAUUUAGAUCUGGUAAUUGCCAACGUGAAUGUAGUUAUUUUAGUACAAGAUACAGUAACUAUUGCCUUAGGACAGGGGUCGGCAACCUGCGGCUUGCGAGCCGCAUGCAGCUCAGUAGAAUCGUACUUGUGGCUCUUGAGUAGUUUAACAGUACAUAUUGAAAAAUUAACUGCAAUAUUAAAAUUGCC
This 300-nucleotide long non-coding RNA is filed under the name Androctonus crassicauda. The record is from RNAcentral. Lineage: Eukaryota; Metazoa; Arthropoda; Arachnida; Scorpiones; Buthidae.